CUAACACAUGCAAGUCGANCGGUAACAUUGGUGCUUGGAUCCCAUGACGAGNGGCGCACGGGUGACUAACGCGUAUACNAUCUGCCUUAUACAGGGGGAUAGCCUUUNGAAAUGAAGAUUAAUAUCCCAUNNNACGNUGUUAUUGCAUGAUAGNGACUUUAAAGNUUCGGCNGUUAAAGAUGACUAUGCGUUCUAUUANCUAGAUGGUGUGGUAACGGCNCACCAUGGCNACAAUCGAUAGGGGCCCUGAAAGGGGGAUCCCCCACACUGGUACUGAAACACGGACCAAACUCNUACGGGAGGCAGCAGUGAGGAAUAUUGGACAAUGGGCNAAAGCCUGAUCCANCCAUGCCGCGUGCAGGAANACUGCCCUAUGGGUUGUAAACUGCUUUUAUACAGGAGANAAACCUUUUCACNUGUGAAAAGCUGCUGGACUGUAAUNAAUAAANGAANGGCUAACUUCGUGCCANCCCCCCGCGGNAAUACNGAGGAUCCAAGCCUUAUCCGGAAUCAUUGGGUUUAAAGGGUCCCUCGCGUUGAUAAUUNAG
RNAcentral lists this ribosomal RNA (548 nucleotides) under marine CFB-group bacterium SB12. Its description in RNAcentral is "partial 16S ribosomal RNA". It matches the Rfam family "Bacterial small subunit ribosomal RNA", at positions 48 to 587 of the family's 1533-position model. Lineage: Bacteria; Pseudomonadati; Bacteroidota. The record is from RNAcentral.